AGCAGCAGCCACGGUAAUACGGAGGGUGCAAGCGUUAUCCGGAUUUAUUGGGUUUAAAGGGUCCGUAGGCGGAUCUGUAAGUCAGUGGUGAAAUCUCACAGCUUAACUGUGAAACUGCCAUUGAUACUGCAGGUCUUGAGUAAAUUUGAAGUGGCUGGAAUAAGUAGUGUAGCGGUGAAAUGCAUAGAUAUUACUUAGAACACCAAUUGCGAAGGCAGGUCACUAAGAUUUAACUGACGCUGAUGGACGAAAGCGUGGGGAGCGAACAGGAUUAGAUACCCGCGUAGUCCCUGUCUCUUAUAC
RNAcentral lists this ribosomal RNA (303 nucleotides) under uncultured bacterium. Its description in RNAcentral is "partial 16S ribosomal RNA". It matches the Rfam family "Bacterial small subunit ribosomal RNA", at positions 507 to 807 of the family's 1533-position model. The record is from RNAcentral.